This 504-nucleotide long non-coding RNA is filed under the name Anser cygnoides (Swan goose). RNAcentral's name for it is "lncRNA (ENSACDG00005000662.1)". The record is from RNAcentral. Lineage: Eukaryota; Metazoa; Chordata; Aves; Anseriformes; Anatidae.
CAAAGCUUCAGCUGUCUGGGGAAAAGUGAGGAUUUAACAGCAAUUUGGAGGGCAGAUCUGCUGCCAAGGUGGUUGGAGGAAAUGCUGGAGAGAAUGACUCUGGCUGCGAUCCUCCCCAGUGAGGACAGUUUGUCCAUGAAAGCCCCAGGGAGAGCUGCAGGUGAUGGAUGAGGUGCAAGCUGGCAGAGGCUUUUCCACCAGCCUAUGGUGGUAUCAGCUUAGAAACUCUUCCUUCAGGCUUGCCUCUCUGUUCUCCAGACUGGGUGCUACCAACAAAUUCGUGCCUCUUCCAAGUCAGCAUUGUAUUCUAUGGAAGUAAGGUGAGAAGAGAAAAUAACAUUUGUUUUUUUUUAAUUUUUUUUGUGAGUCAAAAGUGAAGCCCUUUCCAAAAUAUUCAGUAUGGUCUAUCUGAAACAUUUUAUUUCACCCACAACGAAAGACUGUGUUUUGUUUUCCGUCAUUUAAUCUUAAUUUAAUUUUUAACAAUAUUUCCAUCCUCUGGUU